RNAcentral lists this ribosomal RNA (345 nucleotides) under Triticum aestivum (bread wheat). RNAcentral describes it as "partial small subunit ribosomal RNA". The record is from RNAcentral. Lineage: Eukaryota; Viridiplantae; Streptophyta; Magnoliopsida; Poales; Poaceae.
AUGAUGAAAUGGACGCAUGCUGCAGGAGCAGCAGAGACGUUGUGUGAGCCUUGGGUUCUUCAUCGAUUCGUUCGUGCAUGCCCUUGGUCACAUGAACACCUCAGGGCCAGGAGAGCAGCGUCAGUUGGAUCCAGGAGGAGCACCAUUGUGGGAUCCGCUGCGGCCAAUGAGGCUCAAAAAGAUACAGUGGUUACCAACGGUGACGACGACGACGAAGACUGGCCCAGCAUCUGGGACAGUGGAUGCGUUGAGCUUGAGAUGAAGAUCGGCCACUCCAUCCACGAUCACUGUUCUCCCCUUCUUUUUGUGGAGACGAUUUCAGUAUUCUUUAUCAAUGAUCUUUAG